GACGAACGCUGGCGGCGUGCCUAAUACAUGCAAGUAGAACGCUGAAGGAGGAGCUUGCUCUUCUGGAUGAGUUGCGAACGGGUGAGUAACGCGUAGGUAACCUGCCUGGUAGUGGGGGAUAACUAUUGGAAACGAUAGCUAAUACCGCAUAAUAACAGUUGUUGCAUGACAACUGUUUGAAAGGUGCAAUUGCAUCACUACCAGAUGGACCUGCGUUGUAUUAGCUAGUUGGUGGGGUAACGGCUCACCAAGGCGACGAUACAUAGCCGACCUGAGAGGGUGAUCGGCCACACUGGGACUGAGACACGGCCCAGACUCCUACGGGAGGCAGCAGUAGGGAAUCUUCGGCAAUGGACGAAAGUCUGACCGAGCAACGCCGCGGGAGUGAAGAAGGUUUUCGGAUCGUAAAGCUCGGUUGUAAGAGAAGAACGAGUGUGAGAGUGGAAAGUUCACACUGUGACGGUAUCUUACCAGAAAGGGACGGCUAACUACGUG
Molecule: ribosomal RNA, 495 nt
Filed under: uncultured bacterium
Lineage: Bacteria
Description: partial 16S ribosomal RNA
Rfam family: Bacterial small subunit ribosomal RNA
Source: RNAcentral